AUGCUCAACUCAGACAGUGCUGACGUUGUUUUAUAUUCUCUACGUCAGAAGUACCGAGACACUGACAAGUUGAUAGUUGCCAGAUGGGUGACGACCAAGAUCCGUGAUGGAAAUAUGGAUUCCAAUGUGCUAAAUUGGUUCACGAGAUCAGAGAGCCCCUCUACACCCAAGAAUCCCAUUGUGGAAUUGAUAGACAGCGAUGAUGAUGCGUUUGACAGGAUUGCUGGCAUGGGAAGAGUCACCAGGAGCGCUGCUGCCAAGGGUUUAUCCCCACUUGCUGGAAUAGUGGCCCGUAGAGCUGGUCGUGCUAGGAAGGAUCCUGCUUUGGAUUCUGACAAUGUUACAAGCACGAAGCGUGCACCCGGAGCUCCUAUAAAGUUUUGCUCCCCUGUGCAGCAGCUUCACCCUCAUAAAUUCCCUCACCUGGACAAGGCUCGCAAGUUGUAUAAUCUGUUGCUUAGCGAUGAAGCAUGUGAGAAGAAUACAUUCUCAAUGAUACCUCAGCUCGAUGGUAGUGUAACCAGCUUCACUGGGAAACGCAUCUGGGAAGUUUUUGCGCCUGGGCAAAUGAUGGAGGGUGAUGUAAUGGACUUCCUCAUUGAUGAUUGGAAGAAAGAUCCCGAUAGAAAUGUUGAUUUUGCGUCUGGGAAAAGGGUAUUGCUGAGUCCAUAUUUCAUGAUGAUCAUGAUGCCUCUAUUCAAGCCUAUGGUUUUAUCAAAGGAUAAGAAAGUGAACCACUUUUCUUUAUAUGUCAUGAAUCGGUACCGAAGUAGCGUCGACAUCCUUGACUCUUUACCUUAUCCGAAGAACCAUCGUGCUUCAAAGAACACCUAUCAUAAAGACUGCGAGAAGAUUAUCUCCAGGAUGGUCCAAGUAAUGAAGUCUUUUUAUGGUGAUGCUCAGUACAAUGCGAGCAAGCAGCCCAAAUGGGAGCUUUUUGCAAACAAACCAAUGUUUGUGAAGGUUCCACUUUCAAGGGGCGAAUGA
Molecule: ribosomal RNA, 987 nt
Filed under: Triticum aestivum (bread wheat)
Lineage: Eukaryota; Viridiplantae; Streptophyta; Magnoliopsida; Poales; Poaceae
Description: partial small subunit ribosomal RNA
Source: RNAcentral